RNAcentral lists this ribosomal RNA (495 nucleotides) under uncultured organism. RNAcentral's name for it is "bacterial SSU rRNA". It matches the Rfam family "Bacterial small subunit ribosomal RNA", at positions 1 to 481 of the family's 1533-position model. The record is from RNAcentral.
UAUUGGAUCCAGCUUUGAUUAUGGCUCAGGAUGAACGCUAGCGACAGGCCUAACACAUGCAAGUCGAGGGGCAGCGAAGAGGUAGCAAUACCUUUGUCGGCGACCGGCGCACGGGUGAGUAACACGUAUGCAAUCCACCUGUAACAGGGGGAUAACCCGGAGAGAUCCGGACUAAUACCCCAUAAUAUGGGCGCUCCGCAUGGAGAGCCCAUUAAAGAGAGCAAUUUUGGUUACAGACGAGCAUGCGCUCCAUUAGCCAGUUGGCGGGGUAACGGCCCACCAAAGCGACGAUGGAUAGGGGUUCUGAGAGGAAGGUCCCCCACAUUGGAACUGAGACACGGUCCAAACUCCUACGGGAGGCAGCAGUGAGGAAUAUUGGUCAAUGGUCGGCAGACUGAACCAGCCAAGUCGCGUGAGGGAAGACGGCCCUACGGGUUGUAAACCUCUUUUGUCGGAGAGUAAAGUACGCUACGUGUAGUGUAUUUGCAGUAUCCG